This is a long non-coding RNA of Octopus bimaculoides (California two-spot octopus), 1574 nucleotides long. The record is from RefSeq and is a predicted model, not a curated record. NCBI's taxonomy places the organism in Eukaryota, Metazoa, Mollusca, Cephalopoda, Octopoda, Octopodidae.
CCGGUCUUAGUUUUUUUACUUGGUUGCAGGGUAUCCUGUGUAUGAACUCUCUCUGCGUCCGUAUAUGAACGUAAAACCCAAGGUAAAACCUUGACCAAAAAUGCAUAGAAAUGUUUACUCUGGAUGAAUAUGUACUGCAGCUGAACCAACUAAAUAUACAUUACUGCUACAACCAAGGACAUUAGGACUCUUAUGCAGUAGAAACAUGUUGGAUUGGAAUCUAAAUGUGAAUUUAAUGAGAAUACUUUAAUAAACAAAUUUGAAAACAUGGAAAGAGUUAACUACCAUCCUGCUUCAUAAGAAAGGUGAUAAAGAAGAGACAAAGGUGAUAAAGAGCACAGCUGUUUAUGAAGCUGACAAUCACCAAACACCUCAAUGACCAACAGCAGGGGAUGCAUUGUAUGCGGGGGGGGGGGCUAGUCUUGGGUGAAUUGUAAAUGUAAUACCGAUAUCAUUUGGAUAAUCAUCAUUAUCAUCAUCGUCGUUUAACGUCCACUUUCCAUGCUGGUAUGGGUUGGACGGUUUGACUGAGGACUGGCAAGCCAGAAGGCUGUACCAGGUUCCAAUCUGAUUAUGUUGAGAAAAGGUUUAAAUUUUGGAAAAAUUUUGUUAGUUAAUUGUUGAACUUACUUCCUAGCUGUCCACUUACAUUUUUAGAAAGUAACUGACCAUCAUCUCAAUAAAUUCCUAUAUUAAUAGUGUGGAAUUUAUUGUUAACUGAGCUGAAAGUAUAUGUUCCAAAAAAGGUUGAAAAUCCUGUGAAAUCACUCACAUGUAUUCUUAGAUCAAAGAAAUCUGUAUUAACUACAUAAGUCCUACUACUGUAAAAUGCUGAUUUACAUCAUGCAAAGGAAUGUGUGAACAAAGCACAAGCCACCAUCAUGCCACAAGUUUACCACUGCUGUCGAUCUCUGUCCAUCAGUUCAUACGAGGUCAUCCUGUUUCUGCCGACAUGGCACUCUCCUCUCGUCACCACUUCUCAACUGAUCACAGGUGACAGGACCCUGUACAAGUGUGCGUGUGUGUAUUUAUGUAUUAUUUCUGUCAUUGUGCUGCACACCCUCAAUGGUUUCAGCCAGGUUAGUAACAAAAGGGUUAAGAAUGAAGAGUUCAAUUCCCAUAUCUGGUAUUAGUUCGAAAUGCAAAAAAUAAAUAAAAAAUAAAUUCAUUCUAAAAUAUAGAUUCAAUUAUAUUGAAAUUAUUUAUUGAGUUACAGCAGAUAAUUAACUUUUCAAAGUUUUCUCAUUUAAAGAUAAUUAUUUUUCUUUAGUUUCAACAGAACAAAAUAUCCUUAUUCAUUUAUGUAUGUCAUGUUUAUUUCCAUUCACGGAUUUGACGAUCCACUACAAACUGACCGCGAGGCUCUUUAACAUUUGGAGGCAGUAAAGCAAGAUAGACUGGAGUGUCAGCACCUAACAAAGAGAUGCAGAUAAAAAGAUGAAAAUAAUGACACAAUAACACACGGAAAAAGAUAAAAGUAAUAACACAGAUCAUUAAAAUGGAAUGUGAAGUUAAGAAAAACAAGCAUUUUCGAUACCUGCUUUUUGCUUUUAAUCAAGGUUCUAAGGCCGCAG